This is a long non-coding RNA of Carassius carassius (crucian carp), 872 nucleotides long. RefSeq lists it as uncharacterized. The record is from RefSeq and is a predicted model, not a curated record. The transcript has 3 exons. Lineage: Eukaryota; Metazoa; Chordata; Actinopteri; Cypriniformes; Cyprinidae.
UACAGUAAUAUUGUGAAAUAUUUGUAUUAUUACUUUCUAUUUGAAUAUAUUUUAAAAUGUAAUUUAUUCCAAAAAUGAAAAAAAAAAAGACAAUCAUGUCCAAAGUCAUGUGAAGCUCACUACAUGUGCAAAAACACACACUGAGUGCAUGUUACGUACAUAAAGGAAAUAGAAACCAAAUGAGAGGACUGAAGAGCACAUUGUUCAGUCGUGUGAUUUGGAUGGUGACAGUAAGGACUAGACUGGAUACAUUUAUAUUUUGAGAUCGUCUGUUGUGUCCCUGGCUUGUAUUUAAGAUGAAUUUGCUAUAUUUGAGGAAGACGACUUUGUUCCUCGCUUUCAUCCUGCAUGUGAGCAUUGAUUCACAAGGUGAGUUCAUUGCAUCCCCCAAAUGUCCUCUCUUGAAAGUUCAUAGAGGGACUGUCCAUAAAGCCUUCAUAAACAAGCCUUUCAAGAUCUCCUGCAAUCUGACAUAUUGUGUUGAACAGACAGUGAAUGUGACAUGGACUAAACAAAACAUGAGAGAAUGGAUUCCAAUAUCUGGAGCAGAUCAAAUAUCAGCAUCACAAAACUAUUCAUCAUCUGAUCCAAAUAUGUUGACUUCAUAUUUAACUUUCACAAAUAUAUCAAAGCAUCAUGAAGGCUCUUACAGAUGUGAACUAAACUUACCAGACUUCUCUAUGAAUAGCCAUCAUAUAAAUGUUUCUGUCUCAGGUAAUGAUUUUUUAUUUCUAUUGACAGUAGAAAGAGACAACACUGAUAGCAGCUCUGGUUCAUAUCCAUGGUGGCUGCCGUAUCUCUUCAUCUGUUUGGGUGUGCUGAUUCUGGUUCUUAUAGUAAUGCUGAUCUCAAUCCUGUGUAUUAGUGGAAGU